AGCAGUAGUGGAAUCUUCGGCAAUGGACGGAAGUCUGACCGAGCAACGCCGCGUGAACGAAGAAGUAUUUCUGGUAUGUAAAGUUCUUUUAUCAGGGACGAAAACAUAGUAUUGACGGUACCUGAUGAAUAAGCUCCGGCUAACUACGUGCCAGCAGCCGCGGUAAUACGUAGGGGAGCGAGCGUUAUCCGGAAUUAUUGGGCGUAAAGGGUGCGCUAGAUGGCAAUAUAAAGUUUCUUGUUAAAGUGCGGGGCUCAACCCCGUGAUGCAAGAAAAACUGAUGAUAGCUAGAGUAUGGGAGAGGCUAAGUGGAACUCCAUGUGUAGCGGUGGAAU
This 335-nucleotide ribosomal RNA is filed under the name uncultured bacterium. Its description in RNAcentral is "bacterial SSU rRNA". It matches the Rfam family "Bacterial small subunit ribosomal RNA", at positions 350 to 687 of the family's 1533-position model. The record is from RNAcentral.